Molecule: ribosomal RNA, 75 nt
Filed under: Salmonella enterica subsp. enterica
Lineage: Bacteria; Pseudomonadati; Pseudomonadota; Gammaproteobacteria; Enterobacterales; Enterobacteriaceae
Source: RNAcentral
CCUGGCGGCACUAGCGCGGUGGUCCCACCUGACCCCAUGCCGAACUCAGAAGUGAAACGCCGUAGCGCACUGAGU